UGGGGAAUUUUGGACAAUGGGGGAAACCCUGAUCCAGCCAUGCCGCGUGCGGGAAGAAGGCCUUCGGGUUGUAAACCGCUUUUGUCAGGGAAGAAACGGCCUGCGCCAAUACCGCAGGCUAAUGACGGUACCUGAAGAAUAAGCACCGGCUAACUACGUGCCAGCAGCCGCGGUAAUACGUAGGGUGCAAGCGUUAAUCGGAAUUACUGGGCGUAAAGCGUGCGCAGGCGGCUUUGCAAGACAGAUGUGAAAUCCCCGGGCUUAACCUGGGAACUGCAUUUGUGACUGCAUCGCUCGAGUACGGCAGAGGGGGAUGGAAUUCCGCGUGUAGCAGUGAAAUGCGUAGAUAUGCGGAGGAACACCGAUGGCGAAGGCAGUCCCCUGGGCCUGUACUGACGCUCAUGCACGAAAGCGUGGGGAGCAAACAGG
This 429-nucleotide ribosomal RNA is filed under the name uncultured Comamonadaceae bacterium. RNAcentral describes it as "bacterial SSU rRNA". It matches the Rfam family "Bacterial small subunit ribosomal RNA", at positions 355 to 776 of the family's 1533-position model. Lineage: Bacteria; Pseudomonadati; Pseudomonadota; Betaproteobacteria; Burkholderiales; Comamonadaceae. The record is from RNAcentral.